AUAUUAAUAAGCGGAGGAAAAGAAACUAACAAGGAUUCCCCUAGUAACGGCGAGUGAAGCGGGAAGAGCUCAAGCUUAAAAUCUCUGUGCAAGUUUUGCAUGGCGAAUUGUAGUCUAUAGAGGCGUUAUCAGUGUAGUUGCUUGGGAUAAGUCUCUUGGAAAAGAGCAGCAUCGAGGGUGAUACUCCCGUUUGUGCCUGAGUGAUUAUGCGUACGAUACGUUUUCUUUGAGUCGCGUUGUUUGGGAAUGCAGCGCAAAGUAGGUGGUAAAUUCCAUCUAAAGCUAAAUAUUGGUGCGAGACCGAUAGCGCACAAGUA
Molecule: ribosomal RNA, 317 nt
Filed under: uncultured Phytophthora
Lineage: Eukaryota; Oomycota; Peronosporomycetes; Peronosporales; Peronosporaceae
Description: partial large subunit ribosomal RNA
Rfam family: Eukaryotic large subunit ribosomal RNA
Source: RNAcentral